GAUGAACGCUGACAGAAUGCUUAACACAUGCAAGUCCACUUGAAUUUGGGUUUUUAACUUAGGUUUGGGUGGCGGACGGGUGAGUAACGCGUAAAGAACUUGCCUCACAGCUAGGGACAACAUUUGGAAACGAAUGCUAAUACCUAAUAUUAUGAUAAUAGGGCAUCCUAUAAUUAUGAAAGCUAUAAGCGCUGUGAGAGAGCUUUGCGUCCCAUUAGCUAGUUGGAGAGGUAACGGCUCACCAAGGCGAUGAUGGGUAGCCGGCCUGAGAGGGUGAUCGGCCACAAGGGGACUGAGACACGGCCCUUACUCCUACGGGAGGCAGCAGUGGGGAAUAUUGGACAAUGGACCAAGAGUCUGAUCCAGCAAUUCUGUGUGCACGAUGAAGUUUUUCGGAAUGUAAAGGGCUUUCAGUUGGGAAGAAAGAAAUGACGGUACCAACAGAAGAAGUGACGGCUAAAUACGUG
RNAcentral lists this ribosomal RNA (467 nucleotides) under uncultured bacterium. RNAcentral describes it as "partial 16S ribosomal RNA". It matches the Rfam family "Bacterial small subunit ribosomal RNA", at positions 28 to 507 of the family's 1533-position model. The record is from RNAcentral.